This 162-nucleotide ribosomal RNA is filed under the name uncultured bacterium. Its description in RNAcentral is "partial 16S ribosomal RNA". It matches the Rfam family "Bacterial small subunit ribosomal RNA", at positions 355 to 509 of the family's 1533-position model. The record is from RNAcentral.
UAGGGAAUUUUCGUCAAUGGGCGCAAGCCUGAACGAGCAAUGCCGCGUGAGUGAGGAAGGUCUUCGGAUCGUAAAGCUCUGUUGUUGGAGAAGAACGUGCGUGAGAGUAACUGUUCACGCAGUGACGGUAUCCAACCAGAAAGUCACGGCUAACUACGUGCC